This 208-nucleotide ribosomal RNA is filed under the name Candidatus Saccharimonadota bacterium. RNAcentral describes it as "partial 23S ribosomal RNA". It matches the Rfam family "Bacterial large subunit ribosomal RNA", at positions 2709 to 2925 of the family's 2925-position model. The record is from RNAcentral. Lineage: Bacteria; Candidatus Saccharimonadota.
CUGGUGUAUCGAUUGUGGCCACCUGCUGCAUUGUCGAGUAGCUACGUUCGGAAUGGAUAAGCGCUGAAAGCAUAUUAAGCGCGAAGCCAACUUCAAGAUUAGAUUUCCCUAUGAGGACACUGAAAGACUAUCAGUUUGAUAGGUGCAAGGUGGAAGCAUGGUAACAUGUGUAGCUGAAGCAUACUAACAGUCCCAUUGCCUUUUUAUG